RNAcentral lists this ribosomal RNA (468 nucleotides) under uncultured bacterium. Its description in RNAcentral is "partial 16S ribosomal RNA". It matches the Rfam family "Bacterial small subunit ribosomal RNA", at positions 28 to 507 of the family's 1533-position model. The record is from RNAcentral.
GACGAACGCUGGCGGCGUGCUUAACACAUGCAAGUCGAACGGAAAGGCCCUGCUUUUGUGGGGUGCUCGAGUGGCGAACGGGUGAGUAACACGUGAGUAACCUGCCCUUGACUUUGGGAUAACUUCAGGAAACUGGGGCUAAUACCGGAUAGGAGCUCCUGCUGCAUGGUGGGGGUUGGAAAGUUUCGGCGGUUGGGGAUGGACUCGCGGGUUAUCAGCUUGUUGGUGGGGUAGUGGCUUACCAAGGCUUUGACGGGUAGCCGGCCUGAGAGGGUGACCGGGCACAUUGGGACUGAGGUACGGCCCAGACUGCAACGGGAGGCAACAGUGGGGAAUAUUGCACAAUGGGCGGAAGCCUGAUGCAGCAACGCCGCGUGCGGGAUGACGGCCUUCGGGUUGUAAACCGCUUUCGCCUGUGACGAAGCGUGAGUGACGGUAAUGGGUAAAGAAGCACCGGCUAACUACGUG